GGACAUGUUUUGUGUUUAGUUUACUUGUUUGUAUUUAUGUUUUUUGUUGAUAUGUUAGGGGCGGAUUGUUUCAAGGUGGUAGACAACAAAUAAUUUCCUGAUCCAACCCUUGUUUCUCUAGUUUUGAUUUGUUUUAGGCGACUUGGGGAUGGUAAUUAACCAGAGUGUAAAGUUGGAGACGACUAUGGCAGUUUAAUGUAGAUGUGAGGAGAUGGGAUUUGCAGAGGAAGGGUUGAAGAAAUGAAUGUAUUUGAAGACUAGGUUAACAAGAAGAUCUUAGUUUUUGUUGUGACUUUCAGACCACUUUGUGCAUAUGCUUAGUUACAUCAGAAGGACAAGGUGCUCCAAACUAAUCCAUCCACCAACUCACUCUCGGGAAUUCAAGUAGGAAAAGCUUGCAACCACGGUGAGUAUACUCGUA
Long non-coding RNA from Helianthus annuus (common sunflower), 421 nucleotides. RefSeq lists it as uncharacterized. NCBI's taxonomy places the organism in Eukaryota, Viridiplantae, Streptophyta, Magnoliopsida, Asterales, Asteraceae. The record is from RefSeq and is a predicted model, not a curated record. The transcript has 3 exons.